Molecule: ribosomal RNA, 273 nt
Filed under: uncultured bacterium
Lineage: Bacteria
Description: partial 16S ribosomal RNA
Rfam family: Bacterial small subunit ribosomal RNA
Source: RNAcentral
UACGUAGGGCGCAAGCGUUGUCCGGAAUUAUUGGGCGUAAAGAGCUCGUAGGUGGCUGGUCGCGUCGGGUGUGAAAGCUUGGGGCUUAACUCCAGGUCUGCAUUCGAUACGGGCCGGCUAGAGGUAGGUAGGGGAGAACGGAAUUCCUGGUGUAGCGGUGAAAUGCGCAGAUAUCAGGAGGAACACCGGUGGCGAAGGCGGUUCUCUGGGCCUAUCCUGACGCUGAGGAGCGAAAGCGUGGGGAGCGAACAGGAUUAGAAACCCCAGUAGUCC